UUUGUUAACGCUUCUAUUACUCUCAAGUGUAAAAAAACAGUGAAUCUAUAUAAUGAGAAUGUUAAAAGCGUAUAAAUGAAACCUCUAAGAGACACAAAUUGAAGCAUCGGAACAUAAAGAAAGUGAAGAUUAAGACAAUAUAUAUUAUCAAAACAAUAUGGCAUAUUAACAAUACUCAAAAAUUGAAGAAAUGACAUCUAUCCUUUUAACAAGCACAGCAAAAAAAGUUUUUUUAAUAAGUUAUUCUACAUGUAGCUAUUUCGCAUAUGUAAAAAUUAGUAAAAAACUGUAAAACUUUAUGUUUAAUUAUAAAAACAUGAGUUUUAACUAUACAUGUUUCAUCCUUUUGACAACAGCUAUUAAAAUGAUCUAUAACAAAUAUGUAUGAAUACACAUAAAGUACUCAUGGAUCAUCAUAAAGUGUUGGGUUGCGUACGAUCCUCGAAGUCAAACGACGUCGACGGUGGCUAACAGUUGGACCGUUUUUUCGGGCGUAUAAGUUAAACAUAUUCUAACAGGUACGACUGUGGGUUGGCUGAAACAUGUAUAACCUUCUCCCGUAGAAAUUAAGCGAGUCUGGACUGGUAAGGUUACGUUGAAUUUAUCAAAAUGAUUGAAUAAUGCAAACAAUUUUUUACUCUUAAAACAUUAAGCAACUUGUUGCCGUCACAAAUUAAUUCGUCGGGAGAGCAAACCAACAUCAACAAGUUGCCGUUAACAUGCUGUAGUCUAGUGUCGAAUUCACGUGAGUACAACUUAAGACGCACAAUGCUGAAGCACCUUGUCUCGAGUUUCUAGAAAUUAGUUGCUGCAACGGUUGACAGCAACAUGACGGCAACUUCAUAGGCGUUUGGUUAUCUGGGUUGUAGCAAGUUUACCGUAGAUUUGCGGAUAUCGAAAGAAACCAUUUACUUAGAAUAAAUAAUAUUUACUUGAAAUUAGUAAUUAUUUUUCUGUAUGUGUCGACGAGCGGAGACACGGCUUACUUGUAUUUAUCAUAAUAGCGUUUUCGAUUUGCUGACUCGAUCUGACUCCGAGUCAAUGGUUUGUUCUUUUCCACUGCAAAAAAGUGAUAAACUGUGCAUGAAAUGAAGAUAAAAGGAACAGACCAUUGACCCGAAGUCGGGGACGGAGGCCACAAAAAACAUCGACAGGAACGGAGAGAAUAGCCACAGAGAUAACUGAGAACACUUCUCGGAGUGAUUGUGCACGAUUCGUGAUUGUGACUGUGUUUUACACAGCUUUGGACACUUGCGGUUCGAGUUUGAGUCAACCUUCCUGGAAUAUAACCUACGGUCAUCGUGGAUUUCAUACCAGACUCACCCAUUGGACAUCCCUCCAGCUUGGAGGGUAAAUCUAGGAAAAGAACGGCGGAGGAAUCUCCCAAAUCAAUCUCCUCACAAACCCAGGACAAAUUCCAGAGGACGGAUGAAGAUCAUAUUUUAGGUUAAUAGGCUUUGUUCCUGGUACUGUGGUUCAUCACAUAGGAAAACGUCAAAAAAAAAAAAAAAAAA
This is a long non-coding RNA of Monomorium pharaonis (pharaoh ant), 1514 nucleotides long. RefSeq lists it as uncharacterized. Lineage: Eukaryota; Metazoa; Arthropoda; Insecta; Hymenoptera; Formicidae. The record is from RefSeq and is a predicted model, not a curated record. The transcript is spliced from 2 exons.